RNAcentral lists this ribosomal RNA (259 nucleotides) under uncultured bacterium. Its description in RNAcentral is "partial 16S ribosomal RNA". It matches the Rfam family "Bacterial small subunit ribosomal RNA", at positions 96 to 353 of the family's 1533-position model. The record is from RNAcentral.
UGGCGGACGGGUGAGUAACGCGUGGGUAACCUGCCCUGUACAGGGGGAUAACAGCUGGAAACGGCUGCUAAUACCGCAUAAGCGCACGAGGAGACAUCUCCUUGUGUGAAAAACUCCGGUGGUACAGGAUGGGCCCGCGUCUGAUUAGCUGGUUGGCAGGGUAACGGCCUACCAAGGCAACGAUCAGUAGCCGGUCUGAGAGGAUGAACGGCCACAUUGGAACUGAGACACGGUCCAAACUCCUACGGGAGGCAGCAUG